Molecule: transfer RNA, 73 nt
Filed under: Fasciola hepatica (liver fluke)
Lineage: Eukaryota; Metazoa; Platyhelminthes; Trematoda; Plagiorchiida; Fasciolidae
Rfam family: tRNA
About the family: Transfer RNA (tRNA) molecules are approximately 80 nucleotides in length. Their secondary structure includes four short double-helical elements and three loops (D, anti-codon, and T loops). Further hydrogen bonds mediate the characteristic L-shaped molecular structure. tRNAs have two regions of fundamental functional importance: the anti-codon, which is responsible for specific mRNA codon recognition, and the 3' end, to which the tRNAs corresponding amino acid is attached (by aminoacyl-tRNA synthetases). tRNAs cope with the degeneracy of the genetic code in two manners: having more than one tRNA (with a specific anti-codon) for a particular amino acid; and 'wobble' base-pairing, i.e. permitting non-standard base-pairing at the 3rd anti-codon position.
Source: Rfam by way of RNAcentral
ACCGCGACAGCUCAGUUGGUAGAGCAUCUGCCUGGUAUGCGGAGUGUCGUCAGUUCGAAUCCGGCUCGCGGCG